AACGCGAAGAACCUUACCUGGGUUUGACAUGCACCAGAUCGCCUCAGAGAUGGGGCUUCCUUAGGGCUGGUGCACAGGUGGUGCAUGGCUGUCGUCAGCUCGUGUCGUGAGAUGUUGGGUUAAGUCCCGUAACGAGCGCAACCCUUAUCCUGUGUUGCCAGCAAUGCGGUUGGGGACUCACGGGAGACUGCCGGGGCCAACUCGGAGGAAGGCGGGGACGACGUCAAGUCAUCAUGCCCCUUAUGUCCAGGGCUUCACACAUGCUACAAUGAUCAGCACAAAGGGCCGCCAAACCGCAAGGUGGAGCGAAUCUCAGAAAGCUGAUCUCAGUUCGGAUCGGGGUCUGCAAUUCGACCCCGUGAAGUCGGAGUCGCUAGUAAUCGCAGAUCAGCAAUGCUGCGGUGAAUACGUUCCCGGGUCUUGUACACACCG
RNAcentral lists this ribosomal RNA (432 nucleotides) under uncultured bacterium. RNAcentral describes it as "bacterial SSU rRNA". It matches the Rfam family "Bacterial small subunit ribosomal RNA", at positions 958 to 1392 of the family's 1533-position model. The record is from RNAcentral.